UCCAUGUUGGGCCAGGAGACUUCAGAUCCAUGUCCUGGUGCUGCCUCUGGCUUUGUCUUUCCUCAGUGGGCAGGACUGGGUCUGCUAGUCCAUCUUUACCCUUCUCUGAGCUAUGCAGCCUUGGCCUGCUGCGUCUCCAGCCUGUAUUCUCUCCCCUUCACUCAGGCCCUGGGAAACCAGCCCAGUUUCUGGCAGGAGAGGCAGAGGAGGGCGAUGCCUUUGCUCUGGGCUUCCUGAGCACCAGCAGUGGUGUCUCUGGAGAAGAUGAAGUAGAGCCCUUACACGGUGGAGUUGAAGAGGCAGAGAAAAAGAUGGAAGAAGAAGGUGUGAGUAUGAGUGAAAUGGAGGCAACAGGAGCACAAGGACCCAGCAGGGUAGAAGAGGCCGAGGGACACACAGAGGUGACAGAAGCAGAGGGAUCCCAGGGGACUGCUGAGGCUGACGGGCCAGGAGCAUCUUCAGGGGAUGAGGAUGCCUCUGGCAGGGCAGCAAGUCCAGAGUCGGCCUCCAGCACCCCUGAGUCUCUCCAGGCCAGGCGACAUCAUCAGUUUAUUGAGCCAGCCCCAGCGCCUGGUGCUGCAGUCUUAUCUUCAGAGCCUGCAGAGCCUCUGUUGGUCAGGCAUCCCCCUAGGCCCCGGACCACCGGCCCCAGGCCCCGGCAAGAUCCCCACAAGGCUGGACUGAGCCACUAUGUGAAACUCUUUAGCUUCUAUGCCAAGAUGCCCAUGGAGAGGAAGGCUCUUGAGAUGGUGGAGAAGUGGUGAGUCCUGGGCACGUGGGGUAGGGAGAGGAACCCCUCGGGUCAUGAUCAGACUGUUCAGCCUGCUCUAUCCCCACCUUCUUGACAGCCUAGAUAAAUAUUUCCAGCAUCUUUGUGAUGAUCUGGAGGUAUUUGCUGCUCAUGCUGGCCGCAAGACUGUGAAGCCAGAGGACCUGGAGCUGCUGAUGCGGCGGCAGGGCCUGGUCACUGACCAAGUCUCACUGCACGUGCUAGUGGAGCGGCACCUGCCCCUGGAGUACCGGCAGCUGCUCAUCCCCUGCGCAUACAGUGGCAACUCUGUCUUCCCUGCCCAGUAGUGGCCAGGCUUCAACACUUUCCCUGUCCCCACCUGGGGCCUCUUGCCCCCACAUAUUUCUCCAGGUCUCCUCCCCACCCCCC
This 1159-nucleotide small RNA is filed under the name Pan troglodytes (chimpanzee). RNAcentral describes it as "retained intron". Lineage: Eukaryota; Metazoa; Chordata; Mammalia; Primates; Hominidae. The record is from RNAcentral.